RNAcentral lists this non-coding RNA (175 nucleotides) under Janthinobacterium sp. RNAcentral describes it as "FMN sequence". It matches the Rfam family "FMN riboswitch aptamer (RFN element)". Rfam says of the family: The RFN element is a highly conserved domain that is found frequently in the 5'-untranslated regions of prokaryotic mRNAs that encode for flavin mononucleotide (FMN) biosynthesis and transport proteins. This element is a metabolite-dependent riboswitch that directly binds FMN in the absence of proteins. The record is from RNAcentral. Lineage: Bacteria; Pseudomonadati; Pseudomonadota; Betaproteobacteria; Burkholderiales; Oxalobacteraceae.
UAACGUUCUCGGGGCGGGGUGCGAUUCCCCACCGGCGGUAAUUACGUUUAGGCGUAUAGCCCGCGAGCGCUUGGCGAAGUUCUCCGUCUGCUUUCUGCAGGCGUCUUCGGCAAGGUCAGCAGACCCGGUGUGAUCCCGGGGCCGACGGUCAUAGUCCGGAUGAUAGAGAACGGAA